Harpegnathos saltator (Jerdon's jumping ant) is the source of this 958-nucleotide long non-coding RNA. RefSeq lists it as uncharacterized. The record is from RefSeq and is a predicted model, not a curated record. The transcript has 3 exons. Lineage: Eukaryota; Metazoa; Arthropoda; Insecta; Hymenoptera; Formicidae.
UGUGUGUGUAUGUAUAUAAUUGUUUGUGUGAUGUCAUGUUCUCUUGGCUAUUUAUGCAUAUAUUAUAGAAAUCAUCAAGAAAUCAUUCGGCAUCGAAGUGUCGCAAGACAUUUUCUUUCUUUCGAAAUUUGUAGGCGUGUUUCGCACGGUGUUGACCUGUCACAUCGACCUAUUUCUUUCAUUCUUCUUAUAUUCUCGUUUUACUUUUCUACGCAGUUUUAAAAUAAUUGAUUCUUGGUUUGUCCCCUGAGGAAUAACUGUCCUGUCGAGAUAAUAUUUAUUAAUGGCAUCAGAUAAGCCAUGAGAUAUUGUUUCUAAGGUGUAACUGAUAUCCACUCAGAAACGUAGUGAUAACCGUAAUAUUAUCAAAUAUUGUCAGUUCUGACUUUUUACGUAAGAUCGCACGUUCACUCUGUCUAUAAAUUCGUGGCGGCACGUAAAAUACUUUAGUAUAACUGGUUUCUUCGAAACGGUUGUAAGAAGACUUUCUCGUGCGCGAAACUGAACAUUUUGCACACCAUUCCGAUAAAAUGGACAAGCGUCUAGCGUUUGCGUUAAUUGCCUUGCUUGUUGUCAACGUUAUAUCGGCAGGCCCUAACUCUGACCAGUGUAGUCCACUUCGCGGGCCAUGUAAUAUUAGCGAAGAAUGCUGUCCAGGCUUGGUAUGCUUGUUUUACGCGCACAGAUGCGUAUCGGCUCGUAUAAAUCAGGAUAAUCGACUAGAACCGACUAAGCAACUGAGGUUGUAACGAACGGAACGCCUUCUUCCAAAAAGAACGACCUCAAGGAUGACGCUUUGAAGACACGCAAGAUGCAGUACGAGGGAUAUAUAUCGUGCGAUGUCUUACCGUCUACGUUCUAGUGGCAGAUUCAACUUUAACAUUGAAGGUUCUGAUCUAAUCUAUAUACUAAGAUCUUCGAACAGAUGACUUAUUAAAGAUUAAAUUUGUUGUAACAA